This 21-nucleotide non-coding RNA is filed under the name Caenorhabditis elegans. Lineage: Eukaryota; Metazoa; Nematoda; Chromadorea; Rhabditida; Rhabditidae. The record is from RNAcentral.
UCCUUAUUUUCUACGACAUCA